Molecule: ribosomal RNA, 489 nt
Filed under: uncultured bacterium
Lineage: Bacteria
Description: partial 16S ribosomal RNA
Rfam family: Bacterial small subunit ribosomal RNA
Source: RNAcentral
AUUGAACGCUGGCGGCAGGCCUAACACAUGCAAGUCGAACGGUAACAGGAAGAAGCUUGCUUCUUUGCUGACGAGUGGCGGACGGGUGAGUAAUGUCUGGGAAACUGCCUGAUGAAGGGGGAUAACUACUGGAAACGGUAGCUAAUACCGCAUAACGUCGCAAGACCAAAGAGGGGGACCUUCGGGCCUCUUGCCAUCGGAUGUGCCCAGAUGGGAUUAGCUAGUAGGUGGGGUAACGGCUCACCUAGGCGACGAUCCCUAGCUGGUCUGAGAGGAUGACCAGCCACACUGGAACUGAGACACGGUCCAGACUCCUACGGGAGGCAGCAGUGGGGAAUAUUGCACAAUGGGCGCAAGCCUGAUGCAGCCAUGCCGCGUGUAUGAAGAAGGCCUUCGGGUUGUAAAGUACUUUCAGCGGGGAGGAAGGGAGUAAAGUUAAUACCUUUGCUCAUUGACGUUACCCGCAGAAGAAGCACCGGCUAACUCCGU